Molecule: ribosomal RNA, 884 nt
Filed under: uncultured bacterium
Lineage: Bacteria
Description: bacterial SSU rRNA
Rfam family: Bacterial small subunit ribosomal RNA
Source: RNAcentral
UUUGAUCCUGGCUCAGAACAAACGCUGGCGGCGUGCCUAACACAUGCAAGUCGUGCGAGAAAGUCCCCUUCGGGGGGCGAGUAAAGCGGCGAAAGGGUGAGUAACACGUGGGUAACCUACCCUCGGGAUCGGGAUAACGUGCCGAAAGGUGCGCUAAUACCGGAUGAGACCACGCGGACGAUGUCCGAGCGGUCAAAGAUGGCCUCUCGACGAAGUUAUUACCUGGGGAUGGGCCCGCGGCCUAUUAGCUAGUUGGUAGGGUAACGGCCUACCAAGGCUAUGAUGGGUAGCCGGCCUGAGAGGGUGUACGGCCACACUGGAACUGAGACACGGUCCAGACUCCUACGGGAGGCAGCAGUGGGGAAUUUUGCGCAAUGGGGGAAACCCUGACGCAGCAACGCCGCGUGAGUGAUGAGGGCCUUCGGGUCGUAAAGCUCUUUUGGAGGGAAAGAAAUGUGUCGUGGCCAACACCCACGGCAUUUGACGGUACCCUCAGAAAAAGUUCCGGCUAACUCCGUGCCAGCAGCCGCGGUAAUACGGAGGGAGCAAGCGUUGUUCGGAAUCAUUGGGCGUAAAGAGCGCGCAGGCGGUUGGGUAAGUCAGACGUGGAAGCCCUGGGCUUAACCCAGGAAUUGCGUUUGAAACUGCCCGGCUCGAGUUCGGGAGAGGGUGGCGGAAUUCCCAGUGUAGAGGUGAAAUUCGUAGAUAUUGGGAGGAACACCUGUGGCGAAGGCGGCUACCUGGACCGAUACUGACGCUGAGGCGCGAAAGCUAGGGGAGCGAACGGGAUUAGAUACCCCGGUAGUCCUAGCAGUAAACGAUGAUCACUAGGUGUAGGAGGUAUCGACCCCUCCUGUGCCGUAGCUAACGCAUUAAGUGAUCCG